GACGAACGCUGGCGGCGUGCUUAACACAUGCAAGUCGAACGGAAAGGCCCUGCUUUUGUGGGGUGCUCGAGUGGCGAACGGGUGAGUAACACGUGAGUAACCUGUCCCUGACUUUGGGAUAACUUCAGGAAACUGGGGCUAUUACGGCCAAGGAGUUCUCGCCGCUUGGUGGGGGCUGGUAAGUUUCGCUGGUUGGGGAUGGACUCGCGUCUUAUGAGCUUGUUGGUGGGGUAGUGUGUUACCAUGACCUUGAAAGGUAGCAGGCCUGCGAGGGGCACCGGCCACAUUGGGACGGAGAUGCGGCCCAGACUCCUACGGGAGGCAGCAGUGGAGAAUAGUGCACAAUGGGCGGAAGCCUGGUGCAGCAACGCCGCGUGCGGGAUGACGGCCUUCGGGUUGUAAUGCGCUUUCGCCUGUGACGAGACGUGAGUGACGGUAAUGGGUAAAGAAGCACCGGCUAACUACGUG
RNAcentral lists this ribosomal RNA (468 nucleotides) under uncultured bacterium. Its description in RNAcentral is "partial 16S ribosomal RNA". It matches the Rfam family "Bacterial small subunit ribosomal RNA", at positions 28 to 507 of the family's 1533-position model. The record is from RNAcentral.